GAGAGGGGUAAUUUACAGAGUGGGUAGCAGAUGUGGGCUCUGUAGAUAAGGACUGGCAGGAAAGUUGUUUACUGAAACUAAAACAGGGAGGCACAAAGGAUAAGGAAGUUAGUUUGGCUUUGGAAGUAGGGAACAAAGAACAAGGACACUGAACAAGCUAAAUCUUUGAAGAGGAACUUCUUUUGUAUCUGACAAAGGUCUUCAAGGAAGAAGGGAGAGAGUGACCUUUCUAGGUUUUAUGGUUGAUGCUGGUGGAGAGGAGUUCUAGUUUCUAAGAUUUACCUUGAGGAAGAAGAACUGUAGUUUCUGUGGCUUGCAGACAAGCAAAGCAAAGCUGAUAAGCAUCAUUAGCAUCCAUUUUAAAUUUAAGCAAACUGAACUCCAAGAGGUUAAGAAACUUGCUCCAAGUGACACAGCUGGCCCACCCGCAGAAGGGAGCUACCCACUGUGAGUCUCUUCUCCACUGAGAGCUGGACACUCAUUAGGACGACCUGCCUUUGGAAAGAACUACCCACUUUGGGUCUCCCGAGAACUGUUCUGUCACUCAAUAAAUCUCUCCACCUUGUUCAUCC
RNAcentral lists this long non-coding RNA (572 nucleotides) under Homo sapiens (human). RNAcentral's name for it is "HSALNT0386486". Lineage: Eukaryota; Metazoa; Chordata; Mammalia; Primates; Hominidae. The record is from RNAcentral.